GCGGGUAUGCACAAGGUGUGUCGCCAGCCUUCCAAGCUGUGUAGUGAGGGUUCGAAUCCCUCUAUCCGCUCCA
Molecule: transfer RNA, 73 nt
Filed under: Serratia phage vB_SmaM-Kashira
Lineage: Duplodnaviria; Heunggongvirae; Uroviricota; Caudoviricetes
Description: tRNA-Gly
Rfam family: tRNA
About the family: Transfer RNA (tRNA) molecules are approximately 80 nucleotides in length. Their secondary structure includes four short double-helical elements and three loops (D, anti-codon, and T loops).
Source: RNAcentral